Molecule: unclassified non-coding RNA, 1072 nt
Filed under: Hevea brasiliensis (rubber tree)
Lineage: Eukaryota; Viridiplantae; Streptophyta; Magnoliopsida; Malpighiales; Euphorbiaceae
Source: RNAcentral
AAAGAAUAAAAAAGGACGGAACAUGUAGGACUUCUACUGCCCUGACUGUAAGCGACUCACUGAGAUAGUCUUCGAUCACGCCGCCGGAGACACCAUCUGCUCCGAGUGCGGUUUGGUCCUCGAAGCUCACUCCGUCGAUGAGACAUCCGAGUGGCGUACUUUUGCCAACGAAUCCUCCGAUCACGAUCCUAACCGUAUUGGUGGUCCCAUUAACCCUCUCCUCGGCGAUGGUGGCCUUACCACUGUUAUUUCCAAAACGAAUGGCUCCUCCAAUGAGCUUCGCUCUGGCUCUAUCGGGAAAUGGCAGAGCCGUGGCGCCAAUUCUGAUCGUGGUUUGAUUCAGGCUUUCAAGUCCAUUGCUGCUAUGGCCGAUAGGUUGGGACUCGUUACAACCAUAAAGGAUCGAGCUAAUGAAAUAUAUAAGAAGGUAGAAGGUCAGAAACCUUUAAAAGGGCGAAAUCAAGACGCAAUUUUAGCUGCAUGUCUCUAUAUUGCUUGUCGACAAGAGAACAAGCCACGAACUGUAAAAGAAAUUUGUUCUGUUGUCAAUGGGGCUGCAAAGAAAGAAAUUGGCCGGGCAAAAGAGUUUAUUGUGAAACAUCUGGAGGUAGAGAUGGGGCAUGCUGUGGAAAUGGGAACUAUACAUGCUGCAGACUAUCUGAGACGUUUUUGCUCCAACCUUGGAAUGAUCAAUCAAGCAGUUAAGGCUGCCCAAGAAACUGUACAGAAAUCUGAAGAGCUUGAUAUAAGGAGGAGUCCAAUAUCAGUGGCAGCAGCUGUUAUUUACAUUAUUACUCAACUUACUGACGAUAAGAAGCCUCUCAAAGAUAUUUCAGUUGUUACUCAAGUCGCUGAAGGCACCAUCAAGAACUCCUAUAAGGAUCUUUAUCCUCACUUGUUACAGAUAGUACCAAGCUGGUUUGCCAAGGAAGAAGAUAUAAAGAAUCUUCAUCCAUAGAUCUAUCUACCCACAAGGAGAUUGAUGAUUAUACUUAAGUCACAGGAUUGAGUUUUGGACAUGUAUAUCUUUAUGGUUAUUUUAUACACAGAACAGGCUUUUCUUUUUUUUUUU